RNAcentral lists this unclassified non-coding RNA (355 nucleotides) under Athalia rosae (coleseed sawfly). Its description in RNAcentral is "misc RNA ENSAEAG00005004027.1". Lineage: Eukaryota; Metazoa; Arthropoda; Insecta; Hymenoptera; Athaliidae. The record is from RNAcentral.
UGGCGGUGGUGGAAUGAACAUGGGUGUUAUUCUUCUUCUUCCGUCGGAGGUUCUCGUUUCAAUUUGUUUGUUGAUAGGCCUUUUUGCAGGUGUUGUCGGAGUUGACGAAGGAGGUGGGGCAGUAUUAUUUGGAACCGUCGAGCUUGUAUUUCUUCCCUGACCAAACAGCAGCCAUUUUUGAAUUUGAUAAGUUAAACUUAAUCUCGAGAGUGAGAACCAGUAGAUUUUCACAACGAGGUGAUACUGACUUGAUCCGAGCUUGUCAAUCGAACUUUAUAGGACCCCUCUAAUAAGCGGAACAUUUUUUUUAUCCUUAGACAGUCGGUAGGCUACGAUUGGUCAACAGGGAUUGAGU